GGAUUUCUAAGGGCAUCACUUGAUGCUUCUGUAUCCAGUGUCUUCCCCUCAGCUACUUCUCCAAGUACUGGUUGCAUUUAUAUCAAUUUGGCUUUGUUUUAUGAAUUAUGUUCAAAGAUUUACAUGAAUUCAAAGUCGGAUAUGUAAAAGUAGGUAUAUCUUGGAGUUCUGUGUUCCAUGUCUGUCCUUUAAUUCUGUGG
RNAcentral lists this long non-coding RNA (200 nucleotides) under Mustela putorius furo (domestic ferret). RNAcentral describes it as "lncRNA (ENSMPUG00000024836.1)". Lineage: Eukaryota; Metazoa; Chordata; Mammalia; Carnivora; Mustelidae. The record is from RNAcentral.